Long non-coding RNA from Oncorhynchus nerka (sockeye salmon), 1173 nucleotides. RefSeq lists it as uncharacterized. The transcript is spliced from 6 exons. Lineage: Eukaryota; Metazoa; Chordata; Actinopteri; Salmoniformes; Salmonidae. The record is from RefSeq and is a predicted model, not a curated record.
CUCAACAUCUCUGUUUAUAAGGCCCUACAUUUUGACUGAGAAGACACCUGAACUUUCUGAAUACUUUUUGAGGAAGGCAGAGGUCAUCUUCUCUCUGCUGACUUUGAACUGCAGUGAGACUACCAGAGCACCACCAUUGUCCAGGUCAUCAUGGGAGUCAUGACUGUGUCUGUUCUUUUCUGUGUCCUCCUCACCUUCCUGGGGACCGAGGUGACUGGGAGGUCUCCCCCAAGGUAUCCCAAUUUACCCAAACCAGUGGAGAGAUUUGCAAGAAGAUCUGAACCAAUUACAGAUCUGUACCAGUGUCCAUCUGGGUUUUCUCGACCCAACCAUUUCUGGAGCACUUGCUACCGUUUCGACAGGAGUUUGAAGUCAACGUCGGAGGCAAAUAAUGCAUGCCGUCAAAGAGGUGGAUCCCUUGCUUCUAUCACUAACAGUAAGGUGUACGAGUAUGCUCUUUCCCUGGUAGACGAUGGAUAUAUCUGGGUUGAGGGGAGCCAUGAGUCUGGAUUUCCCCAGAAGAACUGGUUGAAAGGCUCUGUGCGUGACCAGAAUGGAAAGCAUGAGGGCUGCUUGGCAUUGGUGAAAUUUGGUGAAAAAACAGGUUUUGAUGAUAUCAGCUGUUCCGGAUUGGUCAACACUUUAGUCCUCUCUCUGCGAGAUAGAAGCGUCUUAAUUCUUCGUGUAAGAAGGCCAAACAGAGAGUGGAUUUUGCCAAUACUCUCUGUUUUAUUUUUCAACUAUCGCUCCAAAUUGUUCUGAAUUGACUUUAAGUCUAAUACUCAGAGACAAUAUCAUGAAAAGUGAUGUAAUGGCUACAGAUUCAUACAUAAUGACACAUUGAUUCAAUUGUAUUUCACGUGGCCUUUUUUCUACUGAAAUUAAUACUGGUUUUGCAAUGGAAUUGUCACUGUAGUAUUCUGGAAGCUAUCUUGAAGAUACUGUACCAAACAUGUGGGUACAUACAAAAAGGUUUGAUUCCCUUACAAUCCCAUUUCAAGAUGAAUUAUAUAAUUAUGAAAACAUACAGUUAUUCUCAAUACUUACUCUAACGGUGGAAAUAGUCUAUAUCCAUUAUUUCUGGAACAUCUAUUGAAUUUGUGAACUUGUUGUGCCAUGUACAUCCCUCCUUGCUUCCUUGCAUAUCUUUUUGAAUAAAAACAUUCAGCAUCA